RNAcentral lists this transfer RNA (69 nucleotides) under Ictidomys tridecemlineatus (thirteen-lined ground squirrel). RNAcentral describes it as "Spermophilus tridecemlineatus (thirteen-lined ground squirrel) tRNA". It matches the Rfam family "tRNA". Rfam says of the family: Transfer RNA (tRNA) molecules are approximately 80 nucleotides in length. The record is from Rfam by way of RNAcentral. Lineage: Eukaryota; Metazoa; Chordata; Mammalia; Rodentia; Sciuridae.
GGGGUUGUGGCUCAAUGGUAGAGUGCUCGCCUAGCAUGUGAGAGACGCUGGGUUCAAUCCUCAGCACCA